Molecule: non-coding RNA, 424 nt
Organism: Castor canadensis (American beaver)
Lineage: Eukaryota; Metazoa; Chordata; Mammalia; Rodentia; Castoridae
Source: RefSeq, a predicted model, not a curated record
GGUAAUCAUUGAUCAAAGUGACAGAUUUGAUAUUCUAAUGAGUUCAAAUGAAAUCAAUGCUACAGUACCAGCACACCAUUCUUGUUCCCAGUGAGAAUGGGGCCACUGUUCUCUUCCCUGUCAAGCUCACACAUUCCUAUCAGAGUCAUUGCUGUCUCACCCACUGCUUCUGAUGCUAUCACCCAGAAGAUUUUAGUAAAGGUGAUUUCCUCCAGUCUCCUGGUAAUGCUCAGUUGUUUCCUCAUCUGCAUGUGAAGACAUAACAGAGUGAAGGUAUAGAAAACUCAUAUUCACAAUCCAUCUUAUUAGACUUGACUGACAGCAAAGAGCAAACUACCACGAAAACUUUGAGUUUCUUGUUUCCUCCUGAUACAAUGCAUGGCAGUGAAAGACUUCAGAUCACUGCAAUAGGUAAGACAGAGUA